Molecule: microRNA precursor, 199 nt
Filed under: Oryza barthii
Lineage: Eukaryota; Viridiplantae; Streptophyta; Magnoliopsida; Poales; Poaceae
Description: MIR812 microRNA precursor family
Rfam family: MIR812 microRNA precursor family
Source: Rfam by way of RNAcentral
UUUAGGUGGAGUCAUAAUUUUCGUGUUUAACUUUAAUCAUCUAUCUUAUUAAAAAAAAUUAAUCAACAUUUUUAUUGUUAUUAUAUGAUAAAGUAUGAAUAUUAUUUUAUGCGUAACUUAUAUUUUUUAUUUUUUAAAUAAAAUAUCAAAUAAGAGAGACGAUUAUGGUUGCGUUUAAAAUAGAAUGCAUGGAGUACUA